This 132-nucleotide small nuclear RNA is filed under the name Ursus maritimus (polar bear). RNAcentral's name for it is "U4 spliceosomal RNA (ENSUMAG00000024649.1)". The record is from RNAcentral. Lineage: Eukaryota; Metazoa; Chordata; Mammalia; Carnivora; Ursidae.
AGCUUUGUGCAGAGACAGUAUCCUACCAGUGAUGUUUACCCGAGGCACAAUUAUUGCUGAUUAAAAUCACUCCUAAAGCCAAACAAUUAGGGCUCUUUUCAAUUCGUCACUGUUAUAAUAGCAUUUUGACGG